CAAGGCUUGACAUGGCAUUGAAUGAAUCAGAGAUGAAUUAGCUCUACGGAGCAAUGCACACAGGUGGUGCAUGGUUGUCGUCAGCUCGUGUCGUGGGAUGUUGGGUUAAGUCCCGCAACGAGCGCAACCCUUACGUCCAGUUGCCAGCGGGUAAAGCUGGGCAACACUGGAGGGACUGCCGUGGACAACACGGAGGAAGGUGGGGAUGACGUCAAAUCAUCAUGCCCCUUAUGUCUUGGGCUACAAACGUGCUACAAUGGGACCUACAGCGUGAAGCAAGGCAGUGAUGCGGAGCGAAACACGAAAAGGUCCCCCAGUUCGGAUUGCAGGCUGCAACCCGCCUGCAUGAAGUUGGAAUCGCUAGUAAUCGCGAAUCAGCAUGUCGCGGUGAAUACGUUCCCGGG
RNAcentral lists this ribosomal RNA (404 nucleotides) under uncultured Eubacteriales bacterium. Its description in RNAcentral is "bacterial SSU rRNA". It matches the Rfam family "Bacterial small subunit ribosomal RNA", at positions 975 to 1378 of the family's 1533-position model. The record is from RNAcentral. Lineage: Bacteria; Bacillati; Bacillota; Clostridia; Eubacteriales.